Varroa destructor (honeybee mite) is the source of this 1211-nucleotide long non-coding RNA. RefSeq lists it as uncharacterized. NCBI's taxonomy places the organism in Eukaryota, Metazoa, Arthropoda, Arachnida, Mesostigmata, Varroidae. The record is from RefSeq and is a predicted model, not a curated record.
UGUUGAACUGGCGAACUUAUUCUCAGUGUCAAGUGCAAUUAGGUGCAGAUAAGUGCUGCACCGUUCAAGGCGCUACUUCCGAACGAACCGCAUGAGAUUAAUCGGAGAGCAUUUCUGCACGCCAGGAAAAGUCUAGAUAGCCUCAGCUGCAUACAGUCCAACUCGCUGAACGUAAUACGGGACGUCGUUGUAGGAUACAAUACGAUAUAUAUGGCAAGGCGGCGGAUCAUUUGGCUAAAACAGGACUCGCUUCUCUUCGCAGAUACUCCAAGCAAGCAGGUAGGAUCAGAACGUGCCCGGUGGGUCGUGCACCAUCUUUCUUUGUGUCACGUGCACAGAGACAGCCAUAGCUCCGUAUGCCCCCGACAUCGUCGCUGCCACCGCUGUGUUACCCACCGCCGUCACAGCAAUCGUGAUUACGUGCGUGAGCAUGUCGGGGCCACGUCAUCUAUGACCAUGGCCAAGGGAGAGGAUCAGAGAGUAAAAACUACGAUGCUGUCAAUAGAGGGCCAGACAGUCGCUUGACGACGGCUCUUCUGCAAAGCGAAACGCAGCGGGAAAGCAGACGGUUGGAACAAGUUGCCGCUGAAGAAGCAUCAACAGCAGCAGCGAAAUCAACAGCAGUACAAAGAUCCGAAACAGGAGAACAGUGAGUGGGCGAGCUUUUGACUUAUGUGCCACUUCAAGCUUGUCGGCAGAAUUUGAGGAGAACGAAUGGGGAAACGGGGAAGGGCGGUGUCGGUCUUCCGGCGGAAUACUGUUUAUCAGACGCGCAGCAUUCAACUGUAAUAGACGUAAGGUGCUCAUUAUCCUUCUGGCUUGUUGAACCAUCCUGCUUGCACUUUGGCAGCUGUUAGAGAGCACAUCCAUUUGCUAUAUUCAUGACAUCUAGCUCGUUGCUGACGCGAGUAAACCGAGUGGGAAGCUGGCUGUUCCCCUGUGAUAACAACGGUAAACACGAAUAAAGGCGUGCAGCAAAAUGAGCAAGUUCGAAGCAGAAGGGAAUGGCUUAGCGUUUCGAGUAACACCGGCCAUCAGGUAUCAGCAUUCAAAAUCUAGACGAAAUGUUACGGUGCGUACGUUGUGUAGCCGGUGAAAACGCCACAGAUAACGUCAGUCGUACACACCCUUGAAAAAUGACUAACAAAAUGGGUUUGCGCUUAUCGGUUAAAUAGAUAGUAUAAAUCUCGACUAUUGCUGUGUUUUAGGAU